CCUACGGGGGGCAGCAGUGAGGAAUAUUGGUCAAUGGUCGGGAGACUGAACCAGCCAAGCCGCGUGAGGGAGGAAGGUACAGAGUAUCGUAAACCUCUUUUGUCAGGGAACAAAGACUGGGACGCGUCCCCGGAUGAGUGUACCUGAAGAAAAAGCAUCGGCUAACUCCGUGCCAGCAGCCGCGGUAAUACGGAGGAUGCGAGCGUUAUCCGGAUUUAUUGGGUUUAAAGGGAGCGCAGGCGGUCUGUUAAGUCAGGGGUCAAAAGCCGGGGCCCAACCCCGGCCCGCCCGUUAAAACGGGCAGUCUCGAGUUGGAGAGAAGUAUGCGGAAUGCGCGGUGUAGCGGUGAAAUGCAUAGAUAUCGCGCAGAACUCCGAUUGCGAAGGCAGCAUGCCGGCUCCACACUGACGCUGAGGCACGAAAGCGUGGGUAUCGAACAGGAUUAGAUACCCGGGUAGUC
Molecule: ribosomal RNA, 460 nt
Filed under: uncultured bacterium
Lineage: Bacteria
Description: partial 16S ribosomal RNA
Rfam family: Bacterial small subunit ribosomal RNA
Source: RNAcentral